This 277-nucleotide unclassified non-coding RNA is filed under the name Zanthoxylum oahuense. RNAcentral describes it as "sequence contains 18S rRNA gene, ITS1, 5.8S rRNA gene, ITS2 and 28S rRNA gene". The record is from RNAcentral. Lineage: Eukaryota; Viridiplantae; Streptophyta; Magnoliopsida; Sapindales; Rutaceae.
UCGAAACCUCUGCAACAGCAGAACGACCCGUGAACCCGUGAUAACGCCYGCGGGGGGCGCGCUCCGCGGCMGCUCCCCCACGUCUCCGCGGGUGCGGGACACGUCCCGUUCCCCGCGGGGGCGGACAACGAACCCCCGGCGCGGACUGCGCCAAGGAAAUCUAACGAGAGAGCACGCUCCCGGGGCCCCGGAAACGGUGCGCUCCGGGACGCGGCGCCUUCUUUCACUCUAUCUGAAACGACUCUCGGCAACGGAUAUCUCGGCUCUCGCAUCGAUG